Long non-coding RNA from Oncorhynchus tshawytscha (Chinook salmon), 2976 nucleotides. NCBI's taxonomy places the organism in Eukaryota, Metazoa, Chordata, Actinopteri, Salmoniformes, Salmonidae. The record is from Ensembl.
GUGUGUUACUUAUCUAGAUGAUAUUGUGUUACUUAUCUAGAUGUGUGUUACUUAUCUAGAUGAUAGUGUGUUACUUAUCUAGAUGAUAUUGUGUUACUUAUCUAGAUGGUAGUGUGUUACUUAUCUAGAUGGUAGUGUGUUUCUUAUCUAGAUGGAGCCCAACUCUUCAGGGUAUAGAUUUGUGAGAAUGUUAAGGCAGGGAGAGAAAAAAAGGAAAACCGCUCACUGAAAGGUCAGAACACUUUUUUGUUUGUUUGUCCUACAACAUUUUUGAAGAAAUGUCUAGGAAACGUGACUGUGCCUUUGUAGACAAAAAGACUCAGAGAAACAGGCGGUGUUUUAUACAAGCUUUAUUACAACUUGGUUAACAGCUGUACAUGUCAGAGCGUAGGAAGCACAUUUUAUCAACAAGUUUCAAAUGGACAGGUAACUAUGACCACUAAUGUCCUCCUCCACUGUUUGUUAGUCCCAUACAGUGUGUACAUAUUAUACAAGCAGCAAUAUAAAACUUGGCAAAUGGAAAGGUUUUUUGCUACUUUAUUUUUUAAUGUAAAAUAAGUCUUUCCUAUGAAUAAAAAAUACAGCAACCAUAAAACCUGGCGAUUAAGUUCUGACUGAAAAGCCUCAGUUCUUUAAACUGUAUUUUCUCCUAGAGGUUUUUUUAGCCUCUAGGAAAACCAGAUUGAACGCUACGCUCACAAUUGUUUGAAACAUUCAGUCUGGUGUAACUAUGCUAGAGGUUUAUUGUCCUGUGUAGAACACUGGCCUGGUCCCAGAUCACUUGUCAAGACAGCACACACUGAUCUGGGACCAGGCCAGGAGACUAACCGAUCUGGGACCAGGCCAGGAGACUAACCGAUCUGGGACCAGGCCAGGAGACUAACCGAUCUGGGACCAGGCCAGGAGACUAACCGAUCUGGGACCAGGCCAGGAGACUAACCGAUUUGGGACCAGGCCAGGAGACUAACUGAUCUGGGACCAUGCCAGGAGACCAACCGAUCUGGGACACAAGUAGUAACACGUUGCCCUACCAAUCAUAUCACCACAUGUCAGGAGACUAGUAUUUAACACAAGUAGAGACACGUUGCCCUACCAAUCAUAUCACCACAUGUCAGGAGACUAGUAUUUAACACAAGUAGUAACAGCCAUACAAAGUUCAUCAGUUACAUAAUAAUAUGGACACAUCCUUUUAUUAUAAACUGAAAAAAACACAGUAUCAGCAACAAGUCAAUAAGUCUAGUCUUACUCACACCGGUUUGGUUUUUACACUCGAGGCGAAAGCACUUUCAACAUGUUCAUGAUAUAACAUGAUAGGAAAGAUCCUCUUUGACUUCUACCCGUCUGUCCAUUGGUUAGUGGUCCAUUAGUGACGCAGCGGGUCUAGAGGCAUCGCUACAGACCCGGGUUCGAUCCCGGGCCCAGUGUCGUCCGGGCUAGGGGAAGGUUUGAACAGGGUAGGCCGUCAUUGUAAAUAAGAAUUGUUCUUGCUUAGUUCAAUAAAGGUUCAAUAAAAAAUGAAAACGUGUGUUUGUUCUCGUACUAAAAUGAAUGUUUUAUACUGGACAGGUGGAGGUAGAACAUCCCCAUUUCAGUCCGUUUUCUAACGUUUGGUGCCUAAUGAACAUGACCCGGGACAGGGCAGUCUUACUACGUGGGCCAUCUGCUAAUGAACCACGACCCGGGACAGGGCAGUCUUACUACGUGGGCCAUCUGCUAAUGAACCACGACCCGGGACAGGGCAGUCUUACUGCGUGAGCCAUCUGCUAAUGAACCACGACCCGGGACAGGGCAGUCUUACUGCGUGAGCCAUCUGCUAAUGAACUACGACCCGGGACAGGGCAGUCUUACUGCGUGGGCCAUCUGCUAAUGAACCACGACCCGGGACAGGGCAGUCUUACUGCGUCGGCCAUCUGCUAAUGAACCACGACCCGGGACAGGGCAGUCUUACUGCGUCCGCCAUCUGCUAAUGAACCACGACCCGGGACAGGGCAGUCUUACUGCGUCGGCCAUCUGCUAAUGAACCACGACCCGGGACAGGGCAGUCUUACUGCGUCCGCCAUCUGCUAAUGAACCACGACCCGGGACAGGGCAGUCUUACUGCGUCCGCCAUCUGCUAAUGAACCACGACCCGGGACAGGGCAGUCUUACUGCGUCGGCCAUCUUGCUGUAUUUUUUCAAAAAGGCUCUGCCAUGGCAUCCUAUCAACAAGCCUACUUGUUUUAUAAAAAGGUUAGAGAAAGGUUUUACACAUUUUAUACAAUGUAGGAAAUGUAUGAAUCUAAGUCAAUACUGCAUAUGUAUGCAUGAAUCUAAGUCAAUACUGCAUAUGUAAGGCGAAUAAAAACAGGAAUACAUAUCAAAGUCAUAAAGGCUAGAUAGAAGCAUGUGAUCUCUUCUACCAAUUUAAAGAGAGAGAAACACAUCGAGGUUAUUAUCAGUGAAAUAAAGAAGCAGAGCACUCCUUACAUAGAGAAGUCAUCAGAACACUUAAACGGAAAUACAUGGAAACUGAACAUCUAGACUGAGUGUAGAAAACAUUAAGAACACCUGCUCUUUCCGUGACAUAGAGCCCCCCAACUCAACUCUGGAACAGUUUGAAUCCAGGUCUGAUUUAGACAUGGGACACCAGGGCCUGAUUUAGACAUGGGACACCAGGGUCUGGUUUAGACAUGGGACACCAGGGCCUGAUUUUGACAUGGGACACCAGGGUCUGAUUUAGACAUGGGACACCAGGGUCUGAUUUAGACAUGGGACACCAGGGUCUGAUUUAGACAUGGGACACCAGGGCCUGAUUUAGACAUGGGACACCAGGGUCUGAUUUUGACAUGGGACACCAGGGCCUGAUUUAGACAUGGGACACCGGUGCCUGGUUUAGACAUGGGACACCAGGGUCUGGUUUAGACAUGGGACACCAGGGCCUGAUUUAGACAUGGGACACCGGGGCCUGGUUUAGACAUGGGACACCGGGGCCUGAUG